This 506-nucleotide ribosomal RNA is filed under the name uncultured bacterium. RNAcentral's name for it is "partial 16S ribosomal RNA". It matches the Rfam family "Bacterial small subunit ribosomal RNA", at positions 29 to 523 of the family's 1533-position model. The record is from RNAcentral.
AGUGAACGCUGGCGGUAGGCCUAACACAUGCAAGUCGAACGGCAGCACAGAGGAGCUUGCUCCUCGGGUGGCGAGUGGCGGACGGGUGAGGAAUACAUCGGAAUCUACUCUGUCGUGGGGGAUAACGUAGGGAAACUUACGCUAAUACCGCAUACGACCUACGGGUGAAAGCAGGGGAUCUUCGGACCUUGCGCGAUUGAAUGAGCCGAUGUCGGAUUAGCUAGUUGGCGGGGUAAAGGCCCACCAAGGCGACGAUCCGUAGCUGGUCGGAGAGGAGGAUCGGCCAAACUGGAACUGAGACACGGUCCAGACUCCUACGGGAGGCAGCAGUGGGGAAUAUUGGACAAUGGGCGCAAGCCUGAUCCAGCCAUACCGCGUGGGUGAAGAAGGCCUUCGGGUUGUAAAGCCCUUUUGUUGGGAAAGAAAUCCAUCUGGUUAAUACCCGGGUGGGAUGACGGUACCCAAAGAAUAAGCACCGGCUAACUUCGUGCCAGCCGCCGCCGUAA